This is a non-coding RNA of Roseburia sp. 831b, 74 nucleotides long. The record is from Rfam. NCBI's taxonomy places the organism in Bacteria, Bacillati, Bacillota, Clostridia, Lachnospirales, Lachnospiraceae.
CGUCAGUAACAACGAAUGGCGAGAAGUCAGCAGAAGCCAUAGUAAACCGAUGGCUUAAGACAUCGGCGAAGGGC